GCAUGCAAGUCGAACGGUAAGGGAGAGCUUGCUCUCCCCUAGAGUGGCGGACUGGUGAGUAACGCGUGGGUGACCUGCCCUGAAGAUGGGGAUAGCUAGUAGAAAUAUUAGAUAAUACCGAAUGAGCUCAUUUACAUAAAGGUAAAUGAGGAAAGGAGCUACGGCUCCGCUUCAGGAUGGGCCCGCGUCCCAUUAGCUAGUUGGUGAGGUAAAGGCCCACCAAGGCAACGAUGGGUAUCCGGCCUGAGAGGGUGAACGGACACAUUGGGACUGAGAUACGGCCCAAACUCCUACGGGAGGCAGCAGCUAAGAAUCUUCCGCAAUGGACGAAAGUCUGACGGAGCGACGCCGUGUGAAUGAAGAAGGCCGAAAGGUUGUAAAAUUCUUUUGCAGAUGAAGAAUAACCACAGGAGGGAAUGCCCUGUGAGAUGA
Molecule: ribosomal RNA, 432 nt
Filed under: Treponema denticola
Lineage: Bacteria; Pseudomonadati; Spirochaetota; Spirochaetia; Treponematales; Treponemataceae
Description: bacterial SSU rRNA
Rfam family: Bacterial small subunit ribosomal RNA
Source: RNAcentral